CAAUAGCGUAUAUUAAAGUUGUUGCAGUUAAAAAGCUCGUAGUUGGAUUUCUGGUUGAAGCGACCGGUCGGGCGUUGAUUCGUCUGCACUGGAGUCGGUUUUGGCCAUCCUCUAGGAAAGUGCGUCUGGUAUUAAGUUAUCGGGCGUAUGAUCCUGGUCUUUUACUGUGAAAAAAUUAGAGUGUUUAAAGCAGGCCUUCGCCUUGAAUACAUUAGCAUGGAAUAAUAAGAUAGGACUUUGGUCUAUUUUGUUUGUUUGCAGACCGAAGUAAUGAUUAAUAGGGAUAGUUGGGGGUAUUUAUAUUCCGAUGUCAGAGGUGAAAUUCUUAGAUUUUCGGAAGAUAAACUUAUGCGAAAGCAUUUACCAAGGAUGUUUUCAUUAA
RNAcentral lists this ribosomal RNA (382 nucleotides) under uncultured eukaryote. RNAcentral describes it as "partial 18S ribosomal RNA". It matches the Rfam family "Eukaryotic small subunit ribosomal RNA", at positions 592 to 976 of the family's 1831-position model. The record is from RNAcentral.